RNAcentral lists this small RNA (24 nucleotides) under Arabidopsis thaliana (thale cress). Its description in RNAcentral is "ATSL010530". Lineage: Eukaryota; Viridiplantae; Streptophyta; Magnoliopsida; Brassicales; Brassicaceae. The record is from RNAcentral.
ACAAGGAAAACACAUCAUCUGCAA